AUUGAACGCUGGCGGCAUGCUUCACACAUGCAAGUCGAACGGUAACAGGUUAAGCUGACGAGUGGCGAACGGGUGAGUAAUGCAUCGGAACGUGCCCGGUCGUGGGGGAUAACGCAGCGAAAGCUGCGCUAAUACCGCAUACGAUCUGAGGAUGAAAGCGGGGGACCGUAAGGCCUCGCGCGAUCGGAGCGGCCGAUGUCAGAUUAGGUAGUUGGUGGGGUAAAGGCUCACCAAGCCAACGAUCUGUAGCUGGUCUGAGAGGACGACCAGCCAGGCUGGGACGGAGACAGGGCCCAGACUCCGACGGGCGGAAGCAGUGGGGAAUUUUGGACAAUGGGCGAAAGCCUGAUCCAGCAAUGCCGCGUGCAGGAAGAAGGCCGUCGGGUUGUAAACUGCUUUUGUACGGAGCGAAAAGGUCUCCUCUAAUACAGGGGGCUCAUGACGGUACCGUAAGAAUAAGCACCGGCUAACUACGUGCCAGCCGCCGCCGUAA
Molecule: ribosomal RNA, 493 nt
Filed under: uncultured bacterium
Lineage: Bacteria
Description: partial 16S ribosomal RNA
Rfam family: Bacterial small subunit ribosomal RNA
Source: RNAcentral